RNAcentral lists this small RNA (380 nucleotides) under Pan troglodytes (chimpanzee). RNAcentral's name for it is "processed transcript". The record is from RNAcentral. Lineage: Eukaryota; Metazoa; Chordata; Mammalia; Primates; Hominidae.
GAUCUUUGGGAAACUGAAAGAGGAAAACUUCUUUAACCCCAAAGAAGAAGUGAAGCUGGAAGCGCAUAUCAGAGUGCCCUCUUCCACAGCUGGCCGGGUGAUUGGCAAAGGUGGCAAGACCGUGAAUGAACUGCAGAACUUAACCAGUGCAGAAGUCAUCGUGCCUCGUGACCAAACGCCAGAUGAAAAUGAGGAAGUGAUCGUCAGAAUUAUCGGGCACUUCUUUGCUAGCCAGGUACUGUGCUGUGAGGGCCCUGUCUCUCCUGCAAGUCUCUUUUCAAUUCUCUGCUAAGCUGCUGGUGGCCUGUCAGGUGGCCACAGGCCCUGAGCAUCAAUCCAUGCCAAGAUGGAACCUCUCCCUGGUUCUUCCUGGCUCUUUA